AUCUUUUAAUCGAGAUUUUGCCUUCGGGUACAAUUGAGGACAGGUGGUGCAUGGUUGUCGUCAGCUCGUGUCGUGAGAUGUUGGGUUAAGUCCCGCAACGAGCGCAACCCUUGUGUUUACGUUGCAAACAGGUCAAGCUGUGCACUCUAGACAGACUGCCGUGGACAACACGGAGGAAGUGGGGAUGACGUCAAAUCAUCAUGCCCCUUAUGAUCUGGGCUACACACGUGCUACAAUGGCCGGUACAACGGGCAGCGAAGGAGCGAUCCGGAGCGAAUCCUAAAAAGCCGGUCCCAGUUCGGAUUGCAGGCUGAAACUCGCCUACAUGAAGUUGGAGUUGCUAGUAAUCGCGAAUCAGAAUGUCGCGGUGAAUGCGUUCCCGGGUCUU
RNAcentral lists this ribosomal RNA (388 nucleotides) under uncultured Fusibacter sp. Its description in RNAcentral is "bacterial SSU rRNA". It matches the Rfam family "Bacterial small subunit ribosomal RNA", at positions 997 to 1382 of the family's 1533-position model. Lineage: Bacteria; Bacillati; Bacillota; Clostridia; Eubacteriales; Fusibacteraceae. The record is from RNAcentral.